RNAcentral lists this ribosomal RNA (283 nucleotides) under Aspergillus sp. BAB-344. RNAcentral's name for it is "partial 28S ribosomal RNA". It matches the Rfam family "Eukaryotic large subunit ribosomal RNA", at positions 328 to 629 of the family's 3401-position model. The record is from RNAcentral. Lineage: Eukaryota; Fungi; Ascomycota; Eurotiomycetes; Eurotiales; Aspergillaceae.
CCCAGACCGAUAGCGAACAAGUAGAGUGAUCGAAAGAUGAAAAGCACUUUGAAAAGAGAGUUAAAAAGCACGUGAAAUUGUUGAAAGGGAAGCGCUUGCGACCAGACUCGCCUCCAGGGUUCAGCCGGCAUUCGUGCCGGUGUACUUCCCUGGGGGCGGGCCAGCGUCGGUUUGGGCGGCCGGUCAAAGGCUCCCGGAAUGUAGUGCCCUCCGGGGCACCUUAUAGCCGGGAGUGCAAUGCGGCCAGCCUGGACCGAGGAACGCGCUUCGGCACGGACGCUGC